UACAGAGGAUGCAAGCGUUAUCCGGAAUUACUGGGCGUAAAGGGCGCGUAGGCGGCCCGUCAAGUCCCGUGUGAAAGCCCCCGGCUCAACCGGGGAACGGCGCGGGAAACUAGCAGGCUUGAGUUCGGGAGAGGGAAGCGGAAUUCCGGGUGUAGCGGUGAAAUGCGCAGAUAUCCGGAGGAACACCGGUGGCGAAGGCGGCUUCCUGGACCGACACUGACGCUGAGGCGCGAAAGCUAGGGGAGCAAACGGG
This 253-nucleotide ribosomal RNA is filed under the name uncultured bacterium. Its description in RNAcentral is "partial 16S ribosomal RNA". It matches the Rfam family "Bacterial small subunit ribosomal RNA", at positions 524 to 776 of the family's 1533-position model. The record is from RNAcentral.